UGAUUUUGAAUUUUACAUGUACACUUAAGAGCAUGUGUGUGAGCACAGAUUCUCCUUGUUGAUUUUGGUGGGUAGGUAUUGCUUAUUUAUACAAAGUGUUUCUGGAACACAAGAUAUCAGGCUCAAUGGGAAACUGAAACAUGGUUUUACUCACCUAGUAUUUGCACCUAUUUAUACUGAAAAAAUUUUCUCUUUAAGGUGGUUGAAGAUGGAUAUGAAUUUUUUGCAAAGAGGCAGUUGGUCACUCUGUUUUCUGCGCCCAAUUAUUGUGGAGAGUUUGACAAUGCAGGUGCCAUGAUGAGUGUGGAUGAAACACUAAUGUGUUCUUUUCAGAUUUUAAAGCCUGCAGAGAAAAAGAAGCCAAAUGCCACGAGACCUGUAACGCCUCCAAGGGGUAUGAUCACAAAGCAAGCAAAGAAAUAGAUGUCAUUUUGACACUGCCUAGUCGGGACUUGUAACAUAGAGUAUAUAACCUUCAUUUUUAAGACUGUAAUGUGUACUGGUCAGCUUGCUCAGAUAGAUCUGUGUUUGUGGGGGCCUUUCCUUCCAUUUUUGAUUUAGUGAAUGGCAUUUGCUGGUUAUAACAGCAAAUGAAAAACUCUUCACUCCAAAAAGAAAAGUGUUUUGUUUUUUAAUUCUGUUCCUUUUGCAAACAAUUUUAAUGAUGAUGUUAAAGCUGUACACCCCAGGACAGUUUAUCCUGUCUAAGGAGUAAGUGUACAAUUGAUCUUUUUUAAGUCAGUACAACCCAUAAUCAUGUAAAUGCUCAUUUUCUUUAGGACAUAAAGAGAGCCCUAGGGUGCUCUGAAUCUGUACAUGUUCUUGUCAUAAAAUGCAUACUGUUGAUACAAACCACUGUGAACAUUUUUUAUUUGAGAAUUUUGUUUCAAAGGGAUUGCUUUUUCCUCUCAUUGUCUUGUUAUGUACAAACUAGUUUUUAUAGCUAUCAACAUUAGGAGUAACUUUCAACCUUGCCAGCAUCACUGGUAUGAUGUAUAUUUAAUUAAAGCACACUUUUCCCCGACCGUAUACUUAAAAUGACAAAGCCAUUCUUUUAAAUAUUUGUGACUUUCCUAAAGCCAAAGUUUCUGUUGAAUUAUGUUUUGACACACCCCUAAGUACAAGGUGG
This 1129-nucleotide small RNA is filed under the name Pongo abelii (Sumatran orangutan). RNAcentral describes it as "retained intron". The record is from RNAcentral. Lineage: Eukaryota; Metazoa; Chordata; Mammalia; Primates; Hominidae.